This 250-nucleotide ribosomal RNA is filed under the name uncultured bacterium. RNAcentral's name for it is "partial 16S ribosomal RNA". It matches the Rfam family "Bacterial small subunit ribosomal RNA", at positions 779 to 1032 of the family's 1533-position model. The record is from RNAcentral.
UAGAUACCCUGGUAGUCCACGCCGUAAACGAUGAGCACUAGGUGUCGGGAUCGCAAGAUUUCGGUGCCGCAGUUAACGCAUUAAGUGCUCCGCCUGGGGAGUACGUACGCAAGUAUAAAACUCAAAGGAAUUGACGGGGACCCGCACAAGCAGCGGAGCAUGUGGUUUAAUUCGAAGCAACGCGAAGAACCUUACCAGAGCUUGACAUCUUCCUGACAGGUCUUUAAUCGGACAAUUCUUCGGACAGGAA